Molecule: long non-coding RNA, 1041 nt
Organism: Oreochromis aureus
Lineage: Eukaryota; Metazoa; Chordata; Actinopteri; Cichliformes; Cichlidae
Source: Ensembl
GAAGAAACAUUGAUAUCUUUACUUAUGAGUCAAGUAGUUGGCUCACAUUCAAGUAAACAGUGAGUGUCCUGUGAACAUUUGCCAUUCAUUACUUAGUUGUGAGUCUUGUUCAGUAAUAGUGUGUUGGAAAGUCUCUCUGCCCCUCCCUGAUCUUAUCAAAAUCAGUCAGAGCUGAUUUUUAUAAAUGCAGUAGUUUUCUACUUGACCAGCAGUAGAAAACCUCCCAUACUCGUGUGUGUGUGUGUGUGUGUGUGUGUGUGUAUGUGUGUGGUUUCUUUACAAACCUUACCUCUGCUGUGAUACGCUUUUUUUUGUCAUGUUUUAUUUUAUUUUUUAUUUAUAAAUCCUUUAGUUGCAAUCCCUGUUACCAUAGUUUAAGAGCUUUAUGAGACAAGUAAUGGGCCAGCUUUGCAUUGCCAAUAAUUAUUUCCUCAAAACCCGCUGACAUAAUAACACUUGAUUAUGGUCUCUGUGAAAUCAGCGGUGUGGAAAUGACAGCACCCAAAAAGAGCAAACAAUUAAAAAACAAAGUAGAAAGGGCCUGAAAAGAUAUCAGGUGUAGUCCUAAUUUUUACAACAGGCCUCUGGAAGUGGUUGAAACAGUUCCUUUAUUACCCACACACAACCAAAUAACCCAAGUUUCAAACUCAUGUUACGCCUCUCAGACUGUAACAUGAGACCAGAGGGACACGCCUCUCCUAAGACGAGAGAGAGCUCACACCACGCACUGAAGCUGAGUCAGUGAGAGGAGCACCAACACCAGCAGCAUCUCUGCUCCUCCCACACGUGAAGCCGAGACACACAUGACAGCUUGUGUCACUCCCAUCAUCAUCACAGCCGGCAUAACCCUGCUGCUCUCUGCUGCUGUGUGGUUUGUGUGGAGGAGGAUCUCCCGCGGCUCAGGAUCCACACCUGGAGGCGCUGAUGGAGGACCUGCCAGUGACCUGGAGAUGACACCUUUCACUGAGAGGAGCCCUGACAGAGGGACGAUCAUUGGAUAACUGAAGCCUGUGUGUGUGUGUGUGUGUGUGUGUGUGUGUG